This 492-nucleotide ribosomal RNA is filed under the name uncultured bacterium. Its description in RNAcentral is "partial 16S ribosomal RNA". It matches the Rfam family "Bacterial small subunit ribosomal RNA", at positions 29 to 507 of the family's 1533-position model. The record is from RNAcentral.
AGUGAACGCUGGCGGUAGGCCUAACACAUGCAAGUCGAACGGCAGCACAGUAAGAGCUUGCUCUUACGGGUGGCGAGUGGCGGACGGGUGAGGAAUACAUCGGAAUCUACUUUUUCGUGGGGGAUAACGUAGGGAAACUUACGCUAAUACCGCAUACGACCUACGGGUGAAAGCAGGGGAUCUUCGGACCUUGCGCGAUUGAAUGAGCCGAUGUCGGAUUAGCUAGUUGGCGGGGUAAAGGCCCACCAAGGCGACGAUCCGUAGCUGUUCUGAGAGGAUGAUCAGCCACACUGGAACUGAGACACGGUCCAGACUCCUACGGGAGGCAGCAGUGGGGAAUAUUGGACAAAGGGCGCAAGCCUGAUCCAGCCAUACCGCGUGGGUGAAGAAGGCCUUCGGGUUGUAAAGCCCUUUUGUUGGGAAAGAAAAGCAGCAGGUUAAUACCCCGCUGUUCUGACGGUACCCAAAGAAUAAGCACCGGCUAACUUCGUG